GGAAUUCGUAGGGAGGGGGUAAACUUGUCCUUCUUGCUCUUAAAGAAAAGCCUGCGAUUAAAUGGACGAAAACUAAAGAUACUCAUUAGAAGUCAUAGUAGUGAUUCUCACCACUUGUUUGUGGUGGAGCUCAGAUUCCCUCCCCAGGGACUGAUGGAAGCUCAGCUCCCCCUGUACUAACCUGGAUAUCGUACCUGCCUAUCACUAAAGAGCUGAGUGACAUUUCAUUUCAUUACAUUUUGCAGGAGGCUAAACUUAGGGAACUUUAAAGUUUUUGCCUUGGAACGACGUGCUCAUGCAAGGUUUUUCUGCUGUGGAUUGUUGAUGCUGCAGGAGCAGAUAGACUGAUGUGCCUUGAAUUCCAACAAGGAGAAGGUAGUGUGCUGUUCUUUUUGAAUAAAGAGUGCAUACCUUUGAGAGGCUUUUUACCUUACUGUGUUCCAUUUUUAUUCUUGAUCAAUUCGAUGUGAGUCAUUUAAAUGCCAGGCAACAUUAAUUUAUAUUUACUCAUUUGAAAACUUUGUCUAGUUAUUUGCUCAUAUUGGAAUCAUUUGAGACCUAUCUGUAAACAAUAUUCAAAUUCACUGUCAUGCAACGAGAAUUAACGUGUGUGCAUAUACAUGUAUUGGGAGAGGUAGGGGAUAAAGAGAAGGUAAAUUAUGGCAGUCGUAUUAGGAAUUAACAAAAUGUGAGCCUUUAUAAUAACCAAAUUGGGUUUUUUCCCCCCUUUCGUCUUUUGUCCCUACGUUAGUUUUGACCUCUCCCUGACAAUUAGGAAAUAUUCAUUAGCAAUGAUGUGACUCAGGGAAGUAGUAUAUAAUUUUUACCAGGCGACUUUAAAGGAUUAAGACCUUUCAAUGUAUCUGAUCCAUCUGUUUCUUUAGGGCCCACAUUUUGGAGGAAGUGCCAUGUGAUUUCACAUAGGGAUGUUCAUGACCUGAGUUCUUAAAGCUGUGUAUGAAACAGAUUUUAAGGGAUCCAGGCCUGAUUAAAACAGUUAGCCUGUUCACAUCCCCCCUAUUUACUGUGGAUUACUGGAAGGGAAGCAGGGGUUAAACCAGCAGGUCUUGCUGCUUCCCCAGAGGUUAACCUGGCAGCCGGUUUGGCACCCACAGGAGGGCUGACAGGUAGCAGGAUUUGUCUAAGCAGGCUGCCUGAGAGCCAACAAGGAAAACUGAAUGCUCUGGAUUAGUUCUGGAUUAUGUUGUCAGAGUGAAGGCUGAUGGACAAACUGCAGAGGAAUAAAAUGCAAUCUGUUUGGGGAGAGAGGCAGCGUGCAUAGCUUUCAUUUUUCAAGAAAUGACAAGAAAAAUCAUUAAUAAUUUGUAAAUCCAUGUCCAUUAACUUUUUUCUUUGUUAUCCCAAGACAGCAUUUUUAACAUGAGUUUGCCACUGUCCUAUAUCUCUUCUGCCUAGUGACAGAUGGCAAGAUAGAUAUGAAAUUGGAUUCAUAAAAUAAUACCCCCACCUCCAAGAAAGAUAGAGAUGUUAUUCUCCUAACGACGCUUGGCCUCCCCCACUCCCUCCCCCCAUGAUGAAAGAAAAAGGUUGACAUUGGUGACAUAGCCAAAUACAUGUGUUCUCUCUCUCGCCUCCGUAUUAAAUUUUAAUAUGAUGGUAUUAUGUAAUGAAAUUUAAGCUGAAAUGAAGUAAAUAAUCAUGAUAAUAUUCAUUCAUUUGUUAUUGUAACAAAAUGUGGUACAUGAUCCUUCCUUCCGCCCUCCUGUCUUUCUUUCUUUUCAUAAAAGCACUUGAACAUCAGUUCCAGAAACUACCUGAGAGAGUUAAGAGGUAAGGAUACACAGAAGGGAUAUUUCCUCAAAAAUAAGAGUUACUAAAAUUCUUAAAGAAUGGUUGUGAAAUAGUUUUGAUGACAAAAUUUCCAUUUACUCAUAUAUCUUACCAUCUAAAAUAACUUAGGGCUUGUAUUUUCUCUCAGCAAAUUGUGCUUCAUAAAGUGAAAAGUACCUCUCAUCACGUGCUCUCAGAUGAGACUAAGGAGAAACUAGGAUAUAUUUUCUAAAUAGUUCUAAAAUAUCAAAAUUUAGAAUAUUCAGAUAUCUUCAGUUUUAGCUGAAUUUUCCCUAUAACUUUAUAAUAGUUUUUAAAAUGGAGCUUUGACAUUUAAGGGAGUUAACAAUCACAGACUCUAAAAGUAAAAUAGCAGCAUGUUUAUGUUCUGCUCGUUGAUUUUAGAAACAAAUUCUCUCAUUUUCUAAGAAGAGCUGUUUUCUCCUCAGGAAAUAGUAUGAAUUAAGUCUCAAUUCCUCAGGUAUGGCACUUUACUAUAUAUAAUUAGGAGAGGAAGGAAUUCUCAGUCCCAAAUUAACAUUUUGAGCCUGGGAUGAAUUCCAUCUUGCCUACCCAUUGCUCUGUCAUCUCACUGUGUCUGGCCCAUAGUAGGCACACGAUAAAUAUGUGAUGACAAGACAGAUAAAUCAGUAAAACAUGUUUGACACAAAAUGUAUUGAAUUUACUUUGUUCCACAAGAGGCUAAAAAAAAAUUGCUUCUUAGAAAUUUUAUUUUUGACAACAUUGCUCUAUUGGGUAAUCUUAACAUAUGGAGCAUAAAGAGUAAGAAUAAUGAAUAAAAAACAUAGGUGCAAUUGUUUAUUUGGGAUUAGAGCAAAUAAAAUUUCUUUGUCUUGAAGCGAUGUGAGUCAAUUAAGCCAAUGUUAUGGGUAUGAACAAACUUUCAAAUCUAUGCUUACUUACAAACCAGUUUGACAAUAGACCAUCACUAUAGAUAAUAUUAUUUUUUUAAAAAACUAACCAAUUAUAUCAUUAUUCUCACUUUAAAUAGUGAACUAAAAACUGCAUAUUUAUAUAUUAUAUAUACAGCUUUUUCUCACUAGUUAAUAAUCAUUAAAGACCAUUUGGGGAUUUCUUAGUUUCUAAUAAAAUAAUACUUAUUUUAUUGUAUUUGUAAUAAUAUAAACAACUACAUAAAUAAGCAUCAGAGUGUUGAUUUUCUACAAUAAUACCCUUAAGGAUAAAUUCUGCUUUACUGUGAAGUUGUACUUCCUAAUUAUUUUCAUAUUGUAAUGUACAAAGGAAAGGAUAGUACUUUCUUGGGCACUGGUUUGAUAGACAAAACUGCUAUUGUCUGGAGUCCACCCUACUUCCCGGAGCUAUAGACCUCAAUUUUUCUGAAUACAUUUAAACCACAGGGCAAGAAGCCACUGUGCAUUGGCACUCUGAGUUCAAAUUUCUAAGGUCCUAGACUCAUUUUUUUUAAAACCUUAGGACAAGCAUGUCACAAAUUUAGUUGUGAAAGAAGAGAAACAUUGGGUUUUUUUUUUCCUUGUUUCUGAAGCAUAUAUGCACUAACAAAUGAUGGGAGUUAAAAUAUAUUUCUUCAUUUUAAAUAGUGAAAUAGCAAUAAAAAUAAAGUCAUGAAUAAUACAACCACUUAGAAAACAUUUUGAAAUAAAAAUGAAGCUUAUGAAAAACAUCAUCCUCAAAGAAUGUUUAUAGAAUAAGAGAACUUUAUUUAACUGCCAUUCAUGUUAUGUACAUAGAAGAAUCAGUGGAAAGACAAACAAAUGGGCUAUGGUUUGGAGUUAUAUAAAAACUCCAAAUAUUUACAAUUUUAAAUAUGCUAAAAGAUUGUCAGAGGAAGGAAAGGUUUUACAGAUAUUAUAUGGGUGGUAAUUAUUGAGUCACUUCAGUGAAACCACCUGCAGGGCAGGGUUCCAAGCAAGCCUCUAUCCUUUCCCAUUUUCUCAAAGAUAAGAGACCACCAAGCUUUUUAGGACAAAGAAUUUCUGUGUUUUUCAUGGCUGUGAUAAUUGAUAUGACACAAGUUUGAAUAAACUAUAUGCACCAAAUAAAGAAGGAUGAAGGGAUGGAAGGGAAAUUAGAAUUAUUGUGCAUUUAAAGACUCCUAUGACACUUUCAACCAGAAGGCUGGCUUUCUUAAUGGGAUAAAACUAUUGCAUUACUUUAUCGAUCUUCUUUUCAAAAAUGACAAUAAUCUCUACAAAACUUCUAAAGAGUCCAGGUUCAGAUCAUUUUGUGGACUAAUCAGUUUUGUAGUUUUUAUUGUAGGUGAACUUAUUGUUUUGCAUCUUUGAAAGUCUUGUUUUUUAUCCUUGAAAACAUAAAUAAGAACAUCAAAUUGUAGUAAUGUUUAGAUUGUUGUAGAUUUGACAGUAUAAAAUAAAAAUCUCAUUAAAAGUCAAAUAAUUCAACAACUAUAUAAUGCCUGCAUUUUUAUGUUCAAUGUCUGGUCCAGUAAAAUGAGGAUAAAAAGGGAUGACUGAGUAUGGAAAAUUAAAAUUAUUAGUGUUAAUUAAAUUAAAACUAAUGAAAGAUGUUAAAAUAAAGUCUUAUGGAAAGAAAUCAUUUUAAGGAACUAAUAAAUGUAAAUCAGUGUGAAGAUUAUUCUUUUGUAAAGUUUGGCUGAGAAGAAGAGAAAGAAAAACAAAAGAAUGAUAAUGAGGCAAAGUCAGAGUUAAGGAACAUUUUAUUAGAGUAAAAGAAAUGAGCAUCAUUUUAGGUCCAUGAGAAGGAGUCAUCAAAGGCAGUGCAUUUGAGGUGAGGUGAGAGCCUGAAAAGGGAAGUAAAAUUUAGGAAAAUAAGGAGACCAUGAAACUACCCAAUAGGUGAAUGGAUACAUCUUCUAUGGAAUCACCCAAUAGAGUGAGUGGAUACAUUUUCCAAGUUUAGUGGGAAGACUUUGGUCUGGAGAGAGAGUUUAUGAUAGGUAGCAAUUAUAAUUAAUUUGCAAUGAAGUUAUGAUAGAGAAAAUUUUCUGAAUAAAUAUAGAGAUCACUAUUUCUUAGAAGGAAAAGUUUGAAUAGGGCACAUGAGAAAGAUUGUAGAAGUUUAUAUCAUUCAUUGAAAAGAUUGAAAGGAGUUGCUAAAAGAGGGAGUUAGUAGAAUGAAUGGCCAAAUUGGAGACUACCUUUGUGUAAUAGAAUCUACAAUUUUGUGUGAUUAUUCUUCUAUAGGUUCAGCUGCCUGGAUAUGGAAUUGGAGAAAAUAAAUUAUGGCAAUAAUCCAGAUUCAGGAUUUGUUAGGUAGUAGAUGAAUAGACAUACCCAAGAGUCAAGGAUGUUGGUGACAGAGUAAUUCAGGUGACCAGCCAUGAGGUCCACUCAAGGUAGAGAAGAGGAGGAACCCAGUGACUAGGAAAAGGUACAAAUCAAGGAAAUUAGCACAAUUAGCAAAAGUCAUAGAAACUAUUUAAAUUUAGAUAUAUAUGAGAUGGCUUGUGGAAUAGACAGGCUAAGGACAAAAUGGGAAUUCUAGAAUUUGAAGGAACAAACAAGCACAUUUUCUGUUCAAUAUGGAAGUAUCAGAACAAAUUUUUAAAAUUUUCAAUACAAUUCUAAAAGGCAAAGUUUGGUGAACCCAUCUAGAGAAACUCCCAAAAGUUUGGCCACAAUUUGAAAUAAUUAUAUGGGAGAAUCUAAUUAACUUCAAAAUAAUUUUCUAAUUCUAUAAACAAAAUUAUUCAGCUUCUGAGCAAACUUUUAAGUUGAUUCAUGACUUCUAGGUUUAUGUCAUGACUUCAUGAGGUCAAAAUCAAAGCAUAUGCUGAAGGUAAAGUAAUUUAUUCUUUGAACAAAAGUGUUUUCAGAGUUUUCAUGGAAAUUUUCCACAAAAUAAAAAAAAAAAAUGUAAACGCCUGACCUCCAAAGUGACCCCCACAGCCACAUUUGAAAGAUCAUGAUUCCCGGAAGGCAAAGGAUAAUCUUCUGGACAGAGAGUGGACAAUCCAGCCUCUCGUGUCUAUAGGGACAGGUAUGUUCAUGAGCAGUGACAAAUGAGCAAAAAGUAACCAACUUUCCAGGGGACAUUUCUUUUAGCUUCCAAACCUCUGUAAGCUAGAACACUAUGAAAGUACUACCUUGUAUAAUUAUAAUAAUCUUAGGAAGAAAAGUAUUACUGAAAUCUCUUAAUUAAAAAAAAUUAUGAAAUUCCAACCCUUCCUAGCAUGUAGAAUGAAACCUUCAAAUUAUGGAUUCAGUUCAAUUAAAAAAAUAUUUACUGAGGAAAAAACAUGUGUUUUAUACACUGAAGAAAGUGUUAGGAGUCAUACAAAGGGGAAAAUUUUUAUAGAUUCAAACCAUAAUAAACCCAGGCUUUAAUGUGCCACAGCAGGCCAUAAAUAUCACAGAGAGUGAAUCAGAAAGAAGAGGGCUGACUUAGGAAAAUAUACAUACACAGUGCAAGGAAACCAUAUUUUCCCUCUUGCUAAAAGGCUCUUGGCAGAGCAAUACAGUAACAGCUAAAGGAAGCUGGAGCAGAUGCAAUGCUUAUGCAAAUGUUGAUGUGUGUGUUUUACCAUUUUCAAAGACUUGUUUCCCAAAACUCAAGUGAAGAAAAGAUGUGUGUGUGUGUGUGUGUGUGUGAGAGAGAGAGAGAGAGAGAGAGAGAGAGAGAGAGAGAGAGAGAGAGAGACAGAUUCCCUUAAUGAGGUAGUCCCAACUGAAUAAGUAUAGCAGCAUAUGUUGUACAGAGAUAAGUUGCACAAUCAUGAUGGUUUUCCUCCCUUUCUCAAAUAUCAUCAUCCAUAUUUAACAACACCACACACACACACACACACACACACACACAUACACAAGUCACCUACUCCUGCUUUAUUUUUCUUUAUAGCCCUUAUUAUUUGGUAAGACAAUUAAUCUGGUUUAGGUUUUAUCAUGAGUAUUCUCACUAUAAUUUGUAAACCUUAGGUAAUUUGCAAAUCAUAUUAAAAAUUUUAAAUAAUAGAUAAGUAACUUGGAAGUAUUUAACACAAUAUAUCUUAAGUGGGACAUUAGAAUGCACAAAGGGAGUCUAAAACCUCAGAAAUGGAGAGAUCUUCAUAGAUAAUGAUAUAUCCAUGGGAAUAACUUGGGACCCACUUCCAAGACCCUUGGAGCUAUGCUAUGACUGGGUAUGUUGAGCUACAUUUUGAUUCAGAGGGACGAAAGGAAAAUAACUGUUACUAACUGAUGUGUUAAAAGAAUUAGGGCCUGAGCCAUUGAUUUAAGCCAUUCAAAGAUGACAUGAGAACACCAUCAUUAUCUUUUAUUUUAAAAGUCAUAAUUAUUAUUUGUUAAAAAUUCAAAUAUUAAAGAGAUUAUAUAAAGUCCCCUGUAAUGGCAUUCCUUGGAAAGAAACACUAGAUUUCAGCAACCAAAAUCCCCACAUGUUCUAUGUGAAAUAUGUGCACAUAUACAAUUUCAUACAAUCUGAUUUUCCCCAAGUUCUGCUUCAUGCUCUGGGUUCUGCUUACAGGAGUUACUUCCAGACACAGAGAAUUUUUACUCAUUUAUGACCAAACUAAGAAAUUAUUGUCAAUAUUUCUUAGAGGAAGUUUAAAAUAUUUUUUAAAUUGUAGUAAUGAAUUUAGUUAUUUUCUAUGGAGAUCAAUACUUUAAUGUAUUUGAAAUAAGAGAAAUAAUAAGACAUAUGAGCCAAAACAUGUAUUAAUUUCCUACAGCUUUUUCCUAAGAAUGGAAUAAAUUCUCAUGGUUUAAUUUAAGAUCAUUUUUCCUUUUAUUAUGGACUCCCUUAUAGAAAGUCCUACUGAGGUAUUCAAUUUGCACCUGGAAAUCAACAAAGAUGAAUAGAAACAGAAGCCACAGCAAAACAACCCAUCCAAAUCCGUUAUGUGUUCUGACUCAUGGAAUAGAGAGGCUAAGGACAAAAUAUGGGAUCACCUGCUGUGGAGCAGGCAUAGCAUUAGGGACUGAGAAUAAACAAACCAAAGAAAACGUAGUUUCUAUUAUUCAUUCUUUUCACUUAUAUGCACAGAACAUUUAUUUGUUAAUAUUUCAUGUUCAUUAUUUUCUCUUAAUAUAUGUGCUAGCAAACAUUGCAAAGCUUAAAAUAAUCAUGUAUAUUUUGAAAACAUUCUCAAUUUAAAUUUUCAUAACAUAUAAUUACAAGGUCUUACAAUCAUAUUCCUCUAUUCUUAUGCCUGAACUCAUAUCUACAGAGAGAAACAAAAAUGCCUUGAGAUCAAGGACUGUGUAGUUGAAAGCGUGAAUCGUGGUUUUUGAUUGUUGGUAAAGGAUGAUGAUAAGCACGGACAUGGUGAUGGGCUUGUGGGCUGUAAAAACUAAGAGUCCCAUUGGCUAACAGAGUGUACCCAUAAAACCUUGCUGUCUUUUCACAGUCAGACACUGCCCUGAAACAGGGAGAUGUGGUAAAAGGGGAAAUCUGUCCUGGUAUCUAUCUCCAGUGAACAAUUUUUCUGAGCCCAGCAAACAUGACAAGUUGAAAAUAUCUAGAUGGAAUGCUGGGGGGAAGGCAAGCUUAAUUAUUGAUGUUACAGACCUAAAUUUGAUAGGUGAAGUCAAGAGAAUAAUGAGCUCACUAAGGGAGAGGUAUAAAAGAAGUAAAAGAGAACAACUGAAAGAAUACAAAAACAAAGAACUAUGAACAGAAAGACUGGAGAAAAUAUCACCACAAUACAAAUAGAAUAGGAACAAUCACAUCUCUGGAAGCUGAAGGAGAAGAAUUCUAAGACAGAGGUAUAAGUACAGAAAUAAUUCACAAUCAAAACUGUGGACAUGGACAGAAAAGGUCAAUGGGAUUACUUUUCUCACAAUUCUUUCUUGAUCUUCAUCAUAUGUAACUAAUAUAAACAUCAUGGACCACUUACCCAAUAAAUUCUGCUGAAUUAAAUAAUAUUAAUAGUAUAAAGGAACAAGUUCAGUCAGGAAAAACAAGUUUUCUGUUCUUUUCUUUGGCACGCACUAUUAAUUUUGUGCUUUGUACAAAAGUAGAACUUUGUACCAGGACAAAUUACAACUUUGUGCUUGUCUGCUUUUUUUUUUUUAUAGCAAGCACUAAUCAUUUCAUGAAGACAAUUGCACACAUUGACAGAAAGAUUACAACCUCUUUUACCUUUUAAUUUAUUUUGGCCCCGCUGAAAGGCAAGAGUGGCUGAGAGUCUUUAUCUAUAAAAACAUCUGAAGUCUAAGCUGCCAUAUACACCACAGUCAAUGGAUUGGACUAAUGGGAUCUCUGACAAAAUAGCACUUUCUUCUGUUAUUUCGUCUUUGAAUUUUGAGUUUCUAUACUUGAAAAACAAUGAAGACUGGCUCCAUGUGCUAAACACUUGUGGAGAUAAAAUGGCAGAACUAUGUAGACUUCAAAAAGAUUUUGAGUUACUUUUGAAUAAAAAACACUAAAAGACAAGGAGAGGAAAUGAGUAAUGUACAGAAAGAAUGGCAGGCAAGAGACUGCUGAAAGAGUUGUCUCUGACCCUUCAUUUAGAAUGAUCCAGAACCCCUGGUGAUAAUUUUUUCAAGUAUUUUUGAAUAUGUAUUGAAUUACUGAUGAAAGCCAUUAAAAGUUGACAUAAAAUCCCAUCAUUUUUAACUAUAAAAUUGAUAAAUACUAUGUGUGUGUGUGUGCACGUGCGCAUUUAGUCAUUGGUUCAUUUUUAAAAAAUAGAUGUCUUUGUGCAUCGUCAAAAUGGAGGUGAGAGAUGGGAGAAAAUUUAAAUUCAUGAAUUCAUCAAGUAUUUUUUCAGGUGAACUGUGUAGUAGAUACAUUCAAAAAUUCUUAGCUCAGAUACCAAGAUUCUAGUUUUAUAAAUAAUAGGAAUAAUAUAAAGUGUUAAAAUACCUUCCAUUUAUUAAGUACUUAAUGUUUUUGAGGCACUGCAAAAUGUACUUCAUUACUGCCCAAACUUGGAAUAAGUUGACAUUUAUCUAUCACAACAUUUUUUGUUUGUUUGUUUCCAGAUGAGAAAAUCCAGUCAGUAGAGAAGUCAGUUUUCUAGGACCACAAAAUUUAGUUAAAACCCUAAAAGCAGAAUCUAUGCCUUUCUUCUUCACCAUUAUAUCCUAGAAGAAAGAAAAGUGCGGCAUCCUCACAGCCCCUGUGGGCCCAGGUAAAGUGUGUGGUUUCCAUUUGGCACGCUUUCCACAAUACCACAGUGCCAUUUUAAAUUGAAGAUAGUUAAACUGCAGCAAAUCAAAAUGUAUAUUUUAAAACCAGUUUUAGCAGGCAAAAAUAAAACAUAAAUGGAUCAUUAUAAUUGUCUUCUGAGACAGGUAGUAAUCACAUCCUUACUAACAACUGUGUGAAAAUAUUGAAAUUUGCAGUCCCUUCAAAAUACAUAAUUAUGGAAAUUGAACAUUAUUACUUAAUAAGAAACACAACUCCUAUGAAUUAUAAGAACUUUAACUCAUAUGAACAAAGAGUUAUAAUAAAAAUGCAAUAAGAAAUCAAAUGUUUCAUUGUAGUUGUCCCAUAUAUAUACAGUUCUUUAUUUUAUAAGGUUUAUUGUAUUGUUUCUCUUGAUCUGGAAAAAAUUUUUAUUCUAUCUACUACCAUGUGUUGACUCUCUUAUCAAAUAAAAUAGGAACUAUCAGAAACAAUAAGUAAAAAGAUAUAAAAAGAAGAAAAUGAAAGACUGCAGAAAAGCUAAAACCCCUGCCAUCUACUAAGAAACACUAUUGGGUAUUUCGUGUGCUUCAGAGUUUAAAUUAGGUGUGCUGGAAUGUUAUUUCUUGGUUCCUCAGAAUUUCUAGGAACAGUUUUAGAUAAAUGAAUAGAAAAGAAAUGGACAAAAUCAUUAUUUUAUUAGAGAUUUCACUCACGCAAUCCAUUGAAUAAGAUCUAUUUGAGAGCUUCUAUACUUCAGAUAUUUUUGUAUAUAAAAAGUCUCAGCUGCACUUGUUCAGCAGGGGGAAAGUAAAUGGAUGGAGUAAAUGACAUGGUGAUCUUUCAGACACACCAUGAUCCAGUAUUCUCAUUUUAAUUCCUCUUUAAUUUUUGUGAACUUUAAAAAUUUCUACAACAUGUGUCUUUAAAACAUUUUUAACAUGUCAACUUCUUUUCAGUAAAGGCAGAGCACAUUUUUGCUAGAACCUUCCAAAAUAUCUUUUUUCAUUGUAGCCCCAACACCCAGCGUAGGAUAUAGUACAUUAUAGGAACUCAAAAGUCAUUUCUCAAAGGAAGAAAGAUGUGAAAAAUCUAUACAUAUCUUGACAGUUACCCAGCAAAUUGACUAAUUUCGAGGGCCAUAGCUAAAUAUUACAAAUGUCACUGUAAAGUAAAACAAACAUGAUGGGAGGUGUUAUAAAAUCAAAUAAUCAUUACCUGAGACUUUUCAAAUGCCUUCAAACCUAAAAGAAGGAGGCUUUCAUGGCAGAAAGAUUAGGAAUCUGAUCAUGUGCUAUUUUUUUAUUUUUAUUUUUAAAAUUAUUGGUGCCAGGGAUUGAACCCAGGGCCACUUACCCACUGAACCACAUUCCCUUUUUUAUAUUCAUUUAGAGACAGGGUCUCACUGAGUUGCUUAGCACCUCACUUUUGCUGAGGCUGGUUUUGAACUUGCAAUCCUCCUGUGUCAGUCUCCCAAGCUGUCAGGAUUACAGGCGUGUGCCACCAUGUCCAUCUUCAUUUUAUUUUAUGAAGGUUUGACCUAUAAUUUCUUCAAGGCUCACUAUAAGCAUCGUUGUCCCUAUCUGCAAGAUUGGCCCUGCCUAAGAUAUUCUUCUUUCACAUACUUCUAUAUAUGAAAUUUUUCAUUAAUUUACAGGCUAACAGAUUUAGGAUUUUCCUAACUCCCUUCCAUAUAAUUUACUGCACUUAUACAGGCCGGGAAAAUCCGAUAAUUCAAAAUCCUAUUAAAGGAAGAUAGAGUCAAUUCAAGAAAGCAAGGCUUGUUAGCCAUUGUCUGUUUUAGUCAAUAAGUGAAAGUUACAUUAAGGCUGUUUUUCUUUCUCUUUCACAACUGUAUUUGCAUAAAAUCUUUUCAAAUCAUUUAUGCAUUUCAUUUGUCAUGAAACCUCAUUCCCAAUUCCAAAGGGUAAAGGAGAGUUAACUGUAAUGUAUCAUUCAGUUAGCCUAAUGAGAAAAAGGAGUCAAUUUUAUCUGUCCACACUAAUCAGUCAGUAAGAAGUCAUUCCUAAUUGUCAGAAAACUAUAAUCAAAAUCAGAGAAAAAGAAUUAAAUAUCAGAGUAAAAUUUUUCUAGCUUCAGGGUUUUAUAUUUAAUAACCAAAUGAUACUUGUAAGCAAUUAUACAAUGUUUACAAAGGACAUUUUUAUACUUGUAAUAAAAAAUGUUUUAAGUACUUCCAGACAAGUUGUUUGACUAGGAAAUUAAAAUAGUCACUGGACAAGCAGAAGCUGGAUUUCUAGACUACCUUCUAAAUAUUUUCCCUUUGUAGGAUCCUGAACCAUGAAGCCUGCUCAGCUGGCAGGGAAAACAGCAUCUUGGGGCCUUUUGUGCCCCCAUCAUUGUAGGUCAUCCAAACACUGCUCAAGUAGCUGCUCAGAAAUGCCCCAAUUGAAGAGGGCUUGGGAGGUUAAUUCUGUCAUUACUGCGUUGACAUGAAGCAUGUUGCAGCCUUCAGCACAAAAUGUUACUGGUAAUCUUUUAAUCCCAAAUUAGGUCAAUAUUUUAUCAAGUUAAUCUAGCAUGAAGAUUAAUUGCAUUAGUUACACACACAUAUACACAUGCAGGUUAUUUGCUCUAGAAAUACUUUUAAUCAAAGAGCAAACCCUUGGUUACAAUAGGCAAUUUUUUUUCACUUCUGAAACUAUUGCACACCUUUAAAAAAUAUUUCCCUUUCUCCAACAAUAUUUAUCUUUAUAAAAGAGACAUUUAUUCUUUUCAUUGAUCUUUAGUCAAGACUGAUUUGGGAUAAAGGAUAAUGGUCUUAUAAUUACUGAAACAAUGACCAUUUUGAAAAGCUGAUUUAAGAGAUGACUUCUGAUUGAAAUGGUUUUGAUAGAGUAUCUCAUUCUCUGGCCUCUUACUUCAAUUUAAUUCUGCUUGUUCUCUUAAAAUGGAUAAUUAGUCCUAUAAGGACCAUUAAUAGCUUCCUUUGUGUUUACCUCUUUUUAUCUCUAAGUAUGUUUUAAAAUAUUGUAACGAGAAGUAGAAAUUAGAGUAGUUUUUAAUGUUAUCAUCAUUUUUUUCACUUAUGAAAGUUGGGAUUGAGUUUGUCUUCUUCCACGACCCCCACCCCCCACCCUUUUGAAUCUAAAAAGCAGAAUUUAAUGGGUGGGAAGGUGGAAAUAAAUUGAUCCAAGUGACAUAAAUCUGCUAACAGAAGUCAUUAGAGUGGACAAACACCUUUCUCUCUGAGUUUCUUAGAUAAGAACUAUCUGGUAGUUUAAAAUUCCCAGGCAUCAUUCUGGGUAGUUUUACACUCCCACCCCCAAGACAGAGUUCAUGCCCUGUUUCAUCAAAUAUACAAUGACAUUCUCCAAGGGUCAUGCUAAUUAUAGGAAUUUCACAGACUAUGUUUGAGAAUAUUAUCUCAAAAUUUUAGCUCUUGUCUUCAAAUAUUGAUUUUCUGGCAUAUAAUAUUAGUGAGAAAUGAUAAGUAAAAAGAUCCAGAAAUAUUUUCAUGACUCGUCUUCUGAAUUAUUUAAGACAAAAAAAUCAAAUCUUUAUGUGAAGAAUAAAUCAACAAUAAUUUCAAUAUCAGCACUCUACAAAGAGUAUGGUUGCCUGCAUUUGAAGGUAGGGUUCACAAUCCUGAGUGUCAACCUUACAGCUUCUAUGAGGUUUAGACAAAUUGUGUUGAAGAAACACAGCAUAGAAUUCUUUAGUUUUCCAAUUAUUACAGGGUUAUGUUCUUCUCCCAGUAAAGGUAAGAAAAACUUGCAUUAAUUUUUUAAAAGUCAGCCAAGGGCAUGAUAAACAUAAAUGAAACAACUAUUUCAGGAAAGGGCACUGUAAAGCUAUCUCAAGGAUAAAACUAAGAGAAUCCUUCUGUCUUGAGGUCUAUGCUAAAUGGGUGACCCUUGUGCUGAUCCUGCAAAAAAAAAUGGGUAGUAUGUGAGAUGUUGGAUAUGUUCAUUCACUUCACUAUGGUAAUCUUUUUACUAUUAUGUAUCCAUAUGUCAUGUUGUAUGGCUUUAAUCCAAAUAAUAAAAGUCUAUUUUUAAGAAAGUUUAAAAACUAAAUUUCAACUUUUAAUAUUUCAUUCUGAAAUUCUAAAAAAGCUUGCAUAUACCUUGUAUCAACUCAAAUAAUAGUUAUAAUAAAUGAUCUUCUUUCCCUUUAACCUUAUACAUCAGAAGUAAUAUUAAAAAUUAAUAUUAAAUUUUGGUGUAUAGCUUUCACAUUUUCUUCCAUGCUAAUUUAAAUAUUUAUUGUAAGUAUUUACAUACAUAUUCAUGGCUUUCUUUUAAUUUUUAAUUUAAAGUAUAUAAAAAUAAGAUUGUCCUCAAGUUUUAAAUACAUAAAAGUACACAUGGUUUUUAUCACAGUAUUUUUAUAUAGUACUAUUUAUUCUUUUUUUAUUUAUUCAUUUGAAUCAGUUCUACAUAACAGCAGAAUGUUCUUUGAAUUAUUAUACACAAAUGGAGUAUUUUUUAAACUAAUACAACCUAUAAACUCUUUUCUCUUCAAGACAUAUAGAUCUAACUCAUUAUGUUUAAUAACACAAUUAGAAACUACCUGCCCUAAGCAAAUGCCUCUUUGUCUCUAUUAAUCAAUAAUUUCUCACUGAGAACUUAUGUGCCCCUGUCAAUUCCCAGGAUCAGAUUUGUGUGGUAUUCAAUGAGAAGUAUAACAUGAAAGUUCUUGAUUAUAUAUUUCAAUUGUCAAGAGAAACAAAGACAAACAAAACAGAGGCAGCAGCACUGAUGUCAUGGUUUGGUAGUUAAGAGCUUGGAUUCAUGUGUGUCUAGAUAAUACCCCCUUAAUUCUCUUUGGAAGUUUGGUAUCCUCUCUAUGCCUUGUUUUUCCUAAUCCAUAAAGCAAGAAUAAUGAUAGCAUCCUGUUGUAGGAAUAAAUGAGAUAAGGUAAAUAAAGCAUUUGAUGAAGUACUGAUUCUAGCUAAGUGUUUAAUAAGAUCGAGCUAAUAUUAUUGUCACCAUAUUUAGAUCAUCUGUGAGAGCUAAGUUGUGAGAUAAAGGCAAGGGUUCUAAAUAUAUGAACUGUAGUGUACAAACUAAAGACCUUUAGAAAAACUUCAUAAAAGUAAGGUACUAGGUGAAAUUUUCAGGAUGGAGUGGAUGAGUAGAGGGACAGGAAGGAAUCCUUUUCAAGGUGGAGAACAAAAGCCAAAGGAACUAUGGAGAUGCCAGGAGAGGUAGAUGUGGUCAUGUCGUGAGGCUAUGGGGAAGCAUUGUCCAGAAAGAAAAAUCUGUUAGACUAAAGCAUCAGGUGAUGCCAAACUGGAAAAUCAAAUUUUAUCUAAAAAAUUGCAGUAAAUUAGACCCUUGAACACACCUUAAAAGUAGCUUGCACUGGAUCCACCUGGGCAAGUGUCAGUAAUAAUUCAAAUAAUUAACUUCUCACUCAACAAAAGUUUUAUGAUCUCUGCAAAGAGGGAAGAUAAGAUUGUGUGGGUUGCUCAGGUAAGGCAGGGAGGCUGAGAAUGGCAGCAGGGUUAUACAAAUCAAAUUUGAAUAAACUUAUCUAUGAGGCUAAAGAUGUUUUUUUCCACAGGUAUGUUAUGUGGGAUUGUAGAGUUGGAGGGGGUCUUGCGACUUAACCAGCCUAAUUCUGCCUAGAAGGAAAUAGAAAUUUGGAGAAAGACACAUCCAAAGUCACUCAACUGAUAAAGUCUGAACCAGGACCCCAGUCCAAGUCUCUGGCUCCCAUUUUAUCUCUCUCUGAUCCAUUCUACCUGCCAAAUCAGGGAUAAUGUGAUGACAGCAAUGGUUCAGGAAGAUUGAUUGCACAGCCACAUGCAGGUUGAAUUGAAGGACGAGAGCCUUGGCGAGAGGGUGAGGAUGAAGGCUAAAAUAGUAAUCCAAUCACGAGGUGAGAAAGCCUCAGCGAAGGCACAGGAAGUAGUAUGGAAUAUGAAGGAAUACAUCCAAAAUGGUGCCAAAAUCACAACAUGGAAGCACCAGCCAUUCUUCAAAAUGAUUCAGCGUUGGGGAAUUAACAUCAUCUUCUAUAACUUAUGUUAACACAAAGUGAAUAGCAGCAUGAGGAACUUGAGCAAAGCUUUCAAUGAUGCCAUUACUUUUCCAUAUCUUACUCCCAUGCCCCAGCCCUACAUACACACCAUUACACCUCACAUAAGAAUUGCAGACUGAGGUAUUUCUGCUUCAUCCAGCAUCUCCAUCUCUGGCAUCUCAAUGAAUAUAACAUUGAAAAAAAUAUAUAUGACAAUUGGAAAACCUGAAUUUCUACAGAAUUCUUUUUCAGUUUUCCCCCCUUCUGAAUAGGCAUGUUAGUUACCUGUGUAAUUGUAACUAGGAAAAUAUAUUAAAACAAAUUAUUUUGCACUUUUUCCUUCAGAAAAAGAAGUAGCAUUUCAACAGCUGACUCAAAAUAAGGGAAUGAAGUUGGAAAGGCCCAGCUAUUGAUCCACAUUAGUAAAUGAAUUGAAGACAGUUUACAGGAAAUUGACAUAGUUCAUAUUCAAGACAGUUUAAGCAGUAAGAUCUGUGGUUAUCACAAUUCUAAUAAAAGCACUCCCCCAAGAUUUUGACCUCUGGUAUAUACAUAGUUUCUCCCAAUUAUUCAGUCAAACACUAAUCUAGACACUGCUGUGAAGAGAUUUUUGCAGAUGUAAUUAAGGUACCAAAUCAAUUGACCUUGAAACAAAGAGAUUAUCUGGUUGGGCCUAUCCUAAUCACAUGAGCCCUUUAAAAAUAGGACAUUUUCUCUAGUUGGUUGAGGAAAAAGGAAGUCAGAGGUUUGAAGAUUCAUGCUGCUGCAGAAUUGCUGGCUCAGAAUGAAGGUGGCACCCUAAGGAAGGUGGGCAGCCUCCUGGAGGUGAGAGCAGCCCCAGCUGACAACCAACAAGGAAACAGAGACCUUGGUCCUACCAUUAAGAAGAACUGAACUCUGUCCAUAGCUCCUGAACUUGGGAGAUGAUUCUGAGACCUGGAUGAGAACCACGGUCCCAGGCAACCCUUGACUGAAGGCUGGUGACACCAUGAGUAGAGUCCAGCUACUCCAUAGCCAAGAACUACAGAACUGUGAGCUGGCAAGCAGCUGGCAAGUUGCUAAAUUCUUGGUCAUGUGUCACAGGGCCCUAGAACACUAAUGCAAGUUACAAUUUUUUGCUUUUAUUUAUUUUAUUAUUUUAUUUAUUUUUGGUAUGAGGAUUGAACCCACUGAGCCAUAUCCUUAGCCCUUUUUAUUUUUAUAUUUUAAGAAAAGUUCUCACCAAGUUGCAUAGGGCCUUGCUAAGUUGCUCUGGCUGGCUUUAAACUUGGUAUCCUCCUGCUUCAGCCUCCUGACUCACUGGGAUUACAAGUUCAUGCCACUAUGCACAGCUCCAACCAUUGGUUUUUGAGAUUUUCCAGGGUCCUAACAUCACAUUAAUCAAAUAACCAGCCCCAAGAAUACCUGCAUACUAAUUUGAACAACAUGUAGUCUUUGUAAUGCUUUGUCCUCAUAAAUACAUUUGGAAGCAUAAUUGGCUAUUCUUAGUGGUCUGUAGUAAUUAAGUUUCAGCAAGAGACGAGGGAAAAUUGGCAGUUCCAAAUUUUAAAAUUUAAAUUAUAAGAAGGAUCUUCCUUAAAGAGAAUCUGUUAAAAAGAAUAUUAACCAGAAGGUAGAAAAACAAUAAGGAAUAUACUGAAGUAAAUUUGUAGUCCUUCUGCAUGAGAAAUUCACAUAAAUUAUUCAUAUAGAUACAUGUCUCAAUUAUUUGGCCUAUUUGACCUUAAGGACAAACCAAAAUAUGGCUGUAUUGGUGUUCAGAGGUGACUUAUGCAAAGAUGUUUGCUCCUUCCAUUGAAGACUAUGGACAGUAACCUUCCUUCUAAAAUAAACCCUACAUUUUCCCGAUUUGUCACUAUUCUAUGUUGCAUGGGCUGCUUCCUGGGGGACUGAGAGUAUGUGAUAGGAGCAGGGAAGGGGUGGCAGAGCACCUCAGACAGGAAUACUGCUGAGGGGAACAAGCCCAGUGGUGAACUAUCACAAAACGUUCAGAUGUAGAAGUAGAAACAUAAAGAAAGCAUAAUGCCUCUCAGAAAAAUUAACUAAAUCAAAAUAAAGACAUACUCCAGGUUUUAAGUUUAUUAUAAAAGAAAAUAAUGUGUGUACUUCAUAAACCUGAAGUUUUAAAAAAUGUCCCUUUAAAAAUAUAUAAUAUGGGUGCUAAAAGGGUAUGUAGCUCAGCAAUAGACUGCGCUUUGCAUGCACAAGAGCCUGGGUUCAAUCUCCAGCAUUGCCAAAGAAUUUCUUUUUUGUCAAUUAUAUCUUAAUAAAGCCGGAUAAAAUAAAGCAUAUUGGGAUUAAAAUAAGUCCCCCUCACCCUCAGGCUACUUGAUAAGAUCAUUAGCAGAAAGAUAUUAUAACCUUGAAUUCCUCUCUUAGGUGGUAACACUUCGAUUGAUCCAAAGUAGGAUCAUGUUCUAUUCCUCUUUAUAUUAAAAUUCUAUUUUUAUGAAAUUAUGGUAAAGUUAGGUAAGAGCCUUAUUUUUUCCCUCAAAUUUUUGUUAAAAUCCCACCUGACCCCCCCUCCAAAGUGGCUAACCACAUGAGAGGCCCCCACAUGAAAUAUGUAUGUGGGUACUCUUUUGUGAAAUCUCAAAACCUGGGAAUGAUUAGGCCAAUAAUUACUGUUUUGUCUAAUAAAAUGACCCAGUUCUUCCAGUUUUCCCCUAACUACUUUUUAUAACUUCAUUUACAUACCUCCUUGUCCAGCUCACCAUCAUUUCUCCUGAGGUAAAGUGCUUAUCCCUGGCAACCAGAUUUACAAAUAGUAACUAAUGAAAGUCUACAUGGUGGCCAAGAAAAGGUCAAUAUGUGUAAAUUCUUUAGACAAGAAUUAUGCCAGAGAGUUAUCUCUUGUCAAAGGAACUUUUUGCUGUAUAAGAUAGGGAUACUUGUGGUAUUAAAAAUGACCCUUGGAUCAGAAACUAAAUGCAAAGAAUUUGACUAUGAAACUGAGUACAAAUCCACCUUCUCAUCAGGCCUUCCUGACAGAAGCCUUCUAAAACUAGAGUGUCCAAUGUCUUGGCUUCCACUUCCUCAGGCAUAUUGUUACUACAGACCAUGUAGAGCAAAGUGUGGGGAGGGGAAGGUAUGUGCAGAGUGAAUUGAUAAAAAUAUGUAACGUUUUUAAAAUUUGUUAAAUGUUGUUUCAGUUAGUUUUUUCACCUCUGUAACCAAAAGACCUGACAAGAAAAAAUUUAGAGGAGGAAGAAAUUUAUCUGGGGCUCAUGGAUUCAGAGGUCUCAGUCCAUAGAUGGCCAACUCCAAUGCUCCUGGUCCAAGAUGAGGCAGAACAUCAUGAUGGAUGGAUGUGGUUGAGGAAGACAGUAGCUCCCAAUAACGGACCACAGCCAUCCAUAACCUGCCAUCCGGUUAAUCCCUCUCAGGGGAUAAAUGCACUAAGUUAAGAGUUUCAUUUGCCCAAUAAUUUCAUCUCUAAACUUUCUCGCAUUGUUUCACACAUGAGCUUUAGGGAUACACCUCAUGUCUAAAACACAACAAAUGUGUAUAUAUAAAACAAAUGACUUAUAUCUGUCUUUAAAAUAGAAUAAUAUGGAGAGACAUUAAAGGUCAUUGUUAUUACUUAAUGAUUAACAUUACAAUUAUAACAUUUGAAUUUAAACAGAGUAAAUUAGUUCUCACACAUAAUCCUUAUAAAAGUAAAAAUGUUUCAUUAUCAUUGAAGCAAAAAGUUUAGCUGGGCUCUGUGUUUUCUCAUGAAGUGAUGUAGAAAAACAAUUUUGCAUUAUUACUCCAAAAUUAUUGUUAUUGGUAUUAUACCAAGAACAUGAAUCAUUAUCAUAUCUCAGUUCUAGGAAUGACAGUAUAUAGAAGUAAAUGUCCCACAAUUUAAGUCUCUUAACAUAGUAAAGGCAACAAUAACUUAAAAUGCUUCUUUUUAAUAAAUGUCAUAAAAUUUCAGAGAAUAUAUUUGAAAUAUAGUUUGAAUUCUUUUAACUUCAACAGUAAUUUGAUUUGUUUUGGAUUCCUGCCAACCUUUGACUAUUGUCCAAAAUAUCUUGGAAAUUAAGUCCAAAAUUUGCUCAUAACUAAUAUAGUCUGUAGAACUAUGAUAUGAUUUGGGGGGAGGGCCCCAAUAGACAAUUAAAAACUAUAAGUUAAUGAAUAACAUGAGUGUUUUUCCAGAAACUUUUGGUUUAAUAUAUAUACACACACAUACAUACAUAUAUACAAAUGGAAGAUAAUAUAUAUAGUUAAUACAUAUAUAUAUAUAGUUGCAAUUAUUAUUAUUAUUUUGGAUAUAAGAAUUAUCUCUUUUGUGUGACCUAAAAUUACCCUUUACCUUUCAUUCAUUUCACUUGCUUUGACUUUAUAAAUAAAACUGAAAAAAAUGUUAAUGCAUAAACAGCAGUUUUGAUAGACAGAGACAAGAACAGAUAGCAUUGUGAUAAAACUAGUGGUAGCAGACCAAUAGCACUCUUCAUGCAUCAAACUCCUAAAGCAUUACUGUCCACAUACAUUCUUUAGUUGGCUGUGUUUCUGGGACAAUCCAUGUUUCUUGUCUACAAUGCAUACAUGAAUCACUCUUCUAAGCAGUGCACAUAUUGGUCAGAGUCAGCUUCUCCACAGCUGCCACAUUCUAUGUAUUCAUUUAGAUAUGUCCACUUCUCCUUAGCAAAUGCUCAGCAGUUAAUUAUUUUCACAAGUAAAUGAGGUUUUCUUCAAGUCUUUAUGGGUAAUGUUAUAAAAUAAUCAUAUGGAAAAUGACCAGAAACUCAAGCACUGAUCAUUUGAAUUAAGUUUAUACUGUUUAGUUUGGUAGUAUUUGAACACUUGAAUGAGAAUGUCAAGGUCAUAAUUCUGUUUUCCUAUCAUAGUAAAGUUAUGUAGAUAGUGUUUUUUUUAUUGGUUGUCCAAAACAUUACAAAGCUCUUAACAUAUCAUAUUUCAUACUUUAGAUUCAAGUGGGUUAUGAACUCUCAUUUUUACCCCAAAUACAGAUUGCAGAAUCACAUCGGUUACACAUCCACAUUUUUACAUAAUGCCAUAUUAGUAAUUGUUGUAUUCUGCUACCUUUCCUAUCUUCUACUAUCCCCCCUCCCCUCCCCAAAAAUCAAUUUUGAAUGAAUACAUGAUAAUGGGGUAUUUAUCCUUUAACACUUUGUUUUGAAACUCUUUAAACUUGCAGAACAUUUCCAAGAGUAGGAAGUAAGCACCCAUAUAACAUCAUUGCCUGGAUUUACCAAUUGCCAACACUUUUUGGGGGGUCACAUUUGCAUAAUCAUGUAUGUGUCUGCAUGUGUCUGUUUUUAUGUGUGUAUAUUCACAUAGACAAUAUAUACAUGUAUACAUCGUCUGCAGCUAUAUAUACAUAUAUGUGCUUGUAUGUAUAUGUUUAUAUAUACAUAUAUAUUUAUAAUAGCCAGCACACGUACAUGUACAUUUAUAGCUGAAUCAUUUGAGAAUUAAUGAGAUGUACGUUCAUAAUCUUAUUCCUAAGGCUAGGUCUUGUCUAGUGGCAUGUGCAAAAUAACACUUUUACUUCUAUUUUAAUAUUUAAAUAUAUUGCCUUUCUCAUAAAAGUUUUUAAAAGUUUGUACAAUAUAAUAUUUACAAAUGAAAAGAAAUUUUAACAUCUUUUCCUCAAUUACCACAAAGUCAAAUCACAUUUUAGUAUUUUACUUAAUCUAAUGUCAAUAAUUGGCCUCCAGACAGUCAUCUCUUCCCUCCCUUCCCCUGUUCCCCAACUCCAAACUUAUUCUCUACUUGCAGCCAAAAAUCAAGUAGAACUAGAAUUGUCUGCUGAGAACACUCCAUGAUUUCCUAUCUCACAUAAGUGCUAUACUGCUUUCUUAAACAGACUAUCAGAAACUCCACUUAUUCCUUGGACUCCUUUAACAUCAUGUGCUGCUUACUAUAGUGAUGUAGCCAUAUGGAUGUUUAUAGCAGCUCAACUCACAAUAGCCAAGCUAUGGAAACAGCCUAGGUGUCCUUCAACAGAUGAAUGGAUAAAGCAAAUGAGGUAUAUAUACACAAUGGAAUAUUACUCAGCCACAAAGAAGAGUGAAAAGUAUGGCAUUUGAAGGUAAAUAGAUGGAACUGGAAAAUAUCAUGUUAACUGAAAUAAGCAAAUCCCCAAACACCAAAGGCAAAAUGUUCUCUCUUGAUUUGUAGAUGCUAACUCACAACAAGGGAGAAUGGAGAGGGGAUAAAUAGAAACCACUGGAUUACACAAAGGGAAAUGAAGGGAAGGGAGGGAGGAAGGGAAUAGAAAGACAGUAGAACUAAUUGGUCAUAACUUUUGGAGCCUUAUAUUUGUAUACACAACCAGGGAAACUCCACAUCAUGUACGACCAUGAGAGUGGGAACCUAAAUAGAAUAAGUUACACUCCGUGUAUGGACAUUCUACCAAAAUACUUUCUACUAUCAUAUAUUAUAUAACUAAAAAAAAAUAAAAAUAAAAACUUUCCUUGCUGCUCCUCACAACCUUAGCCUUAGGGCAUCUGCACCUCCUUUUGCCUCUGCUUGGGACAUUUUUCCCUAGAAUACUCAAGGCUUAUCACCCUCUGCUUAGAUCUUGAUCUAAAUACUAUCUUCUCAUGGAGUCUUUCCAUAGUCAAUCUGUUUUAAAAGUAAAAAAAAAAAUGCAAGCAAUCCCUAUCCCUUACCUUGCUUAAUUCUUCUCAUGGGCACUUACCAGUAUCUCAUAUACUAUGUAUUUUAUUUAUUUACCCACAUCCAAGCUUUAAAAGGUCAAUGCUUGCCUGUGUUGUGCCCUGCUAAAUCACCAGUCCUGUAAUGGUGCCUGGCAUGUUGGAGGUACUCUCUAGAUAUUGCAUACAUAUUUUACUUUGUGAAGCAUUUUCAUCUUUUAAAAUUUUAUUAGUGCAUUAUAAUUAUGCAUAAUAGUGUGAUUCAUUGUGACAUUCAUGUAUGCACAUAAUAUAAUUUGGUCAACUUUAAUUUUACAGUACCUUCUUUUUCUUCCCCCUCCUCCCUCCUCUGGUCCCCCUUCUUUACUAGACACCCUUUAUUUUAAUGAGAUUCCUUUUUCCCUUUUCCUUUUUAGCUUCCACAUAUAAGGAAAAACAUAUGACCCUUGACUUUGAGUGUAUUGAGAGCAUUUACAAUAAUGCCCUCAAGUUCCAAGUUCCAGCCAUUGUCCUGAAAAUGAAAUUAAAACUCCAUUGUGUACACAUGCCACAUUUUCUUUAUCCAUUCAUUUGUUGACAGACAGCUAGGCUGGUUCCAAAACUUGGCUAUUGUGAUUUAUGCUGCUAUAGACAUGGGUAUGCAUGUAUCUCUAUAGUAUGCUGACUUUAAUUCUUCUGGAUAAAUACUGAGGUAUUUUUAAAAUAAAGGAAUCAUACAAAUACAAACAAGGCAGUGAAGUGAUUAUAUUAAAAGUUUAAGUCUCUUUUUGCCUAUAUUACUUUAGGAUAGCCAUGAAUAAUAUUAACUGCUCAAUUUUGCAAGCAUUCGUGCUCUUCCGGCAUCUUCCAUACCCACUAGCUUUUAAAUGUACUAAUUAUUUGUUGCCACAUAACAAGUUACUUCAAACUUAGUGGCUAAAUGUAACAAAUGUUUGGUAUUCCAGACUCUAUGAUGAGGAAUUAGGGUGCAACUUAGCUGGUACGUUGGUUCUACACCCCUUGCCACAUCUCCCAUGAGGGUGCAGUCAAACCCAGGGCUGGGUCUGCAGCCAUAUAAGGCUCUCCUGGGUCUGAGGUAUCUAGUUUCAGGUUCACUCAUGUAGUUGCUGGCUGGCCUGGGUUCCUCAUCACAUGGGCUGCCUGAGUGUCCUUAUGAUGUGGUAAUAGAAAGACAGUGGAAUUAAUUGGUCACAACUUUUGGAGCCAUAUAAAUAGAUAAAGAGAGCUAGAGAGAACUUCCAAGACAGAAGCCACCAUCUUUUAUAGACUAAUCUCAGAAGUGGCAUCUUAGUCCCUUUCACAUCCAAGGGGAGAUUAUGCAGGUGUGACUAGCAAGAGGCUAGGAUCCCACGAGGCCAUCAGAGGCUGGCUAAAAGUACUGAUCAUUUUAUAGAUAUAGGAGUUGAAACCUAAAGAUGUCAAUUUUUCCCAAGUUACAUAGUCAAAGGGCAAUAAAGAAAUCCUGAAUGCCUGCUCAGCAUCUUUUCAGGAUUAUUGAUAAAAUUAAAUUAUAAUAAUUAUUAUUUUCAAAAACAAAAAUCAAGAAAUACAUUUUUACCUCUCUAGAUAACAGGCACAACUUAAUCACUUUAUGUAGGUCAUCACAUUUAAUCCAGAAAACAAUUCUAUUCUUAUGAUACACAUUUUACAGAUAAGAAAAAAUGAAAUAAAGGUCACACAGCAAAAAAAGUGUCAGGGAUGACCUUGCAAGUUAUCAGUCUGGCUUGAGUGGUUGCUCUCAAAACCAGCACUCUCUACUGUAUGUCUCUUAGACAGAAAAGGUGUACUCAUUAACCCAGAUACUCAGGAGACUGAGGCAGGAGAAUCUCAAGUUUAAGGUCAGUCUCAGCAACUUAGCCAGACUCUGUCUCAAAAUUCAAAAAGGACUGGGGUUGUAGGUCAGUGGUAGAGCACCCAUGUGUUCAAAACCCCAGUUCCAGGGGGUGGAGGGAACUAAAGCCAAAUGGUUUUCUUAAAUUCAUCAAAAUUUAUUUUAACUCAUCAAAACUUGAAACAAGAGAGUUCUGGUGCUAUUUUAAAGUUAAUCUGUUCCCUCAACACGCAAGCAAAAACACUUCCUAUUAAAGAUUAUAUUCAUUGUGUAUACUGUCCAGUAGUGAGAAACCAACAGAACAAGUGUGUGUCUGUAGUAAGAUCUGGUCUGGGUGGAACAUCUACAUGCUAUGAUGUUCUCAUUGCUCCCCUCUGGCAAAGGAAUAAGAAAGCCACACACAGAAUACCAUCCAGUACUUGGGAAAUACCUCUCCUCCUCUCUUUCUUCUUUCCAGUUUAUAGAAGUUCCCCUUCCAAAUGGCAAUAAGUCACUCCAGAGAAUGCAUUUUCUAAAGGAUGAUUGCCCUUCUUGAGUAGUGACGCACUUAAGGCAGGCAUGCAGUAAUCCCCAGAAAUGUACCGCCUGGAGUGUCUUAUUGCUUAAUUAGAUCUGGCACUGCGCCACUUCUUCUUAGACUUGAACCAGUGCAAGAGCCUUGGAAGGAGGCACGGGUAUAAGAAGUGCUAUUUCAGGGGGAUAUAAAGUGAUGGCACAAUGCCAGUCUGCAGAAAACAAAGCCAAGAGUUCCUGCUACGGCGAUGAAAUGUCAAAAUGCCUGGCUUUAUUGUAGUCAGAGAUUAAACCCAUCGCUGUACCAUGGCUGGGGUUUAAACAUGAUCUCUGUUGUUCUAAAAGACUUUAUAAUCUUCACUCACAGGACCACAGGCCAUAAAAGCACCCAGUAAUUUGGAAAAUAUCACAAAAAGUUAAUUGUAGGAGUGUAGAAGCUGUACGUUGAAGAAGCUUAGAUAGAGAUCACAAACUAGCCAAUUAUUACAACAAUAAAUGUAACUUUCCCCCAAAGUAUUCAUUGAACAGAAGGGAGAAGUCUUCAUUUUAAUUAUGUAAACACAAUCUCUUACUUCCUUCAACAGCCUAUCAUCUUUUAUAAAAAAUAAUACAGUCAUGUGUCACUUAACAACAGGGAUAUGUUCUAAGAACUGCGUCAAUAGGCAAUUUUGUUAUCAUAGGAACUUCAUAGAGUAUCCUUAAAAACCUGGAUCAGUCACUAGAAAUAGCCUCUUGAGACAAUCUUCUGAAGCAUAACACAGUCCACUCCUUUACAGUAACUUUCUUUAAUAAGUAGGAGUAGACUUUAAAAAUAACCAUACAAGUAUAUACAUGAGCCAAUUGUAUGUGCUAUACCUUUGUACCACUGGCACUGCAGUAGAUUUGUUUAUACCAACAUCACCAUAGCAACAUGAGAACUGUGUUGCACUGUCACAUUCUGACAACCAUGACAUCACUAGGUGAUAGGAAUUUUUAUAGACUUACGGGACCCUUAUUUGCCAUAAUGCAGUAUAUUAUGCGGCACAUAAUUGUAUUACAUUUUACCAAAGAGCAAAUGUCUAGUCCUCUUCAGCUGCAUUGUAAAACUCUGAGGCUCCAGGUAAUGUCAACCCCAGCUUCUCUAUCUGCUCAGAAGAUUUCUAGAGAAGUUUUUUGAGCAUCAGCAACACUAUCCAUUGUACAGACAAAUUUUACCUUUACGUAAUCCCUGUAUUUGUCACUUCCUUUUUCAGUUUUGAGACAGUCUACCUGGAGUCCUCAUUAACUAGGUCCUUUGCUUCUUCCUCAGCAAUUGGUUCUGCCUUGCCCAGAGAAUCCAUGGAGACUGAGUCAAACUCCUGUCACCAAAGGAUAUCAACUCUGUGCAAUGACAGAAUGAUCCAUAAGAACAAAUCUUUGUUUUUACAAUGAAUGAUGAUGAAAAAAUGUAUAUAAUUAUUCUUUAUAAACAAUCCUGUAAAAUCAUCAGACACCUAUAUUGUUUUUUCAAGAUCUACACUAUGUCUAAAUCAACAAUUUAUUCAAUACUUAGUAUGUUUCCCUGAGCAAUAUAAACUAGUCCUCCCCACCAGUAACAAUGUACCAGGAGCAGACGACGACAUAGACUGAACUACCUCAUACCUAAUAUCUGUCCAGUAACAAUGUACCUGGAGGCUUAGAAUCAGAAAGAAAUUAUUAUUAGAAGUCAAGACUAGCAAAACAAUACAUGGGACUCAGGGCAACAUGACAAUUCUCGGUUCUGUCUCUAAAAAUUAUUGAGCAUUAUUAAGAAUUUCAAGACAACAGUGGGCAUAAAAUAAACUAGGGGCCUCAAUGAGUGCAGACUUUUGUGAAAUGAUAUGUGUCACAUCCAUACAGCUGGCCACACCAGAAAUCUAAAAUGCAAUAUUAACAUUAAAUGAAAAUCAUUUAAAUAUAUAUGCUCCAUAGCAUUGAUAGAUACACAAAUUUUCAUAAAUCAAAGUAGCCUGUUUUCAGCCCUUCCUUGUCAAAUCAGCAAAACAAACAGAUCUUCACACCAAAUUACCAACCAAGAAACAAACAGCUUACAACAGAAUUCAUCUUCAGAUAACUGAUGUCCGUGCCCUUCUGGCAAGGCUGGUGAAUAUUCUGAAACUAAAAUAAGAAUUUUAAAAAUAUAAUUAUGAAUGUGUUGUAUUCUGUUAAAAAGAAGGAGCUGUGAAUCUAUUUUUUUUAAGUUUAAAAAUGAAAAGCAGCAGUGAGACAAAAGAGCAUACAGGGGGCAUGGGAGAAGAUAGUUUAACAGUGAAUUAUCUUCCUGGUUCCCACUGAGUCUUUCAGGACAUCAUGUUUUAUAAUUUAACUACAAGUUUGGAGUUCAGUGUUCAUGGUGCUGAUAUCCAGAAAUACUUCAUAACUCCAUAAGCAUUUUUUUUUGUCUUUCUUUAAACAGCAUGUCUUUUUCCAUCAUGAGGAACUGGGAAAAUAAUUGACAUCAGCCUUGACAGUGUUGGAGUGGUGGGUUACAAGGAGUCUCCUGGUGGAGAGAAACAAAGAGCAGAUGACGACAUAGACUGAGUUACCUCAUACCUAAUAUCUGUCCAACAAGGACUGCAAUUAGAUUUAUGUGCUGAGAAAUCGAGUAAUCAUUGAUGUUCCAGGCAAAUGUCUCCAAAGCUUAGAUUUUACUGGAUCAUAUCAAAUGAGGGAGAAGAAACAGAUGUAUUUUCCCAACUGGGAAAAAAAAAAGACAGAGUUGUGGCUCAGAAAGAAACUAUGUGUGAUACAUAUGUGCCUGAUUAAUCUACAGUGCCUUUCCUUUCACAUAUAUCUAGAAUAUGCAAUUUAUUUCGAUGUUUAUGUAUCGUUUGAUAUUCUAUCGGCUUGAGAAAAAAUGACUGCUCCUAUAAAUGUCAUCAUGGAGUAGAAUUAUAACUUGUUUGUUUAGAUAACUUCUCUGUUUAUCUCCUUGAGUUAUUCUGAUACCGGCAGUGACUCAUACCACUCUCUUACCUCUCUCCAAACCAUGUAGUUGGAAAGUCUCUAAAGAAAGUCAUUUUCUUUUUUAUUUUAAUACCAUUUUCUCCUUUUGGCAUGUUCUUUACAACCUUCCAAUUUAUAUUUGUCUCUUAUUUUGAGAGUAUUUGAAUGCCUUCAGACAAUAUUUUCCACUGAAUAAGUGACCUAUGAGCUUAUAAUAUGAGAAAGUACUGUUAUUGCUUCUUAUGUUUAGUUGUAAGUUUAGAGUUUAUAACUGACCUGCUGAAUAAAAGUUUUUACACUUAAAAAUAGGGUCAAAGAUACCCAACAAUAUAAAAUGAGAAUAUUAUAUCCUUGUCCCUGACCCUAGGAUUGUGGUUUUCUUCAUAUUACAGACUGGGAAAGGAUUGUGUGAAUGUUUUUGUCCCAUUUACCAACAUUUCUAAGUAAGAAACUUCCCUCUAGUACAUUCAGAAAGUUCCACACACUCUGUAAGUUUGGAGCAGACCAUAUAUGUUCUAUAAAUUAAAAUUUUAACACCUUUUUUCUAAUAUUGCAAACCUGAUUCUCUUUUACCCCUACUAAUUUCAAAGUUCAUGUACACAUACAAAUUUUUUUCCACUUUUCUUUUUUCCCUCCCUCCUUUGAUCUUUUCUUCUCUCUUCCCCCGCCCCUUUUUCCCCUUCAUUUCUCCCUCCCUACCUUCCUUCCUUCAUUCCUUCCUUAUAUCAUGAUAUUUCCACAUAAGUUCUUGUACAAAUAAACUUCUCUAGAGAUCACAUGGCUUUCUGGGACCAUUCUGACUUCUCCGCUGGCAUCUAGGAAGGUACCACUGAGAUAAAUGGGAGACUGGACAUUAUUUGCAUUCCCCCUUGAUUGAUGGAGGUUACUGGGUUGUUUACAUGAUCUUUACUUCUUCAACAUCCAAAGAGUGAACCACUAUUACAAGAAAUGUUUAAUUAGAUGUCAAUGAAGUAAGCUGAAUACAUGCAGCCAUAAAAUUAACCUGGGAACUCUAACCUUAGCUUUUUUAAGUGGUUUAUACAACUACUUUGUUCAGGCAUGAAAGUUGUCAGUACAUGUUCUGCCUUACAUUACUACUACAGGAGGAAAAUGAAUAUAAAUUUUGUUUGUUUUUUAUUCCCCUAUUGUGGCUAUAAAUUAAUGCUGUUUUGUUUUUCCUUAAAGAGUGUAUGGAAAAAAGAGUCUCAACAUUCUGAUUUAUUUUUCUCUUUUAAUACUCUCUCACACUGUUAAAAACUGAUUGCUCAAUAUUUUUGUUUGUAUAGAAGCACCAAAUCCUCAUUUUAUUUCUCCAGCCCUUCUAACAGCUCGUGAGAUGCUUCAUCUACAAAACAUACAUGAAGUACAUUUGGUUCUGUCUGUCUUCCUUCGUUUAUACGUGCUACUAGAUUUCUGGAUUCCAGUUGGAACCACAGGAAUAGAGGUAUUCAAAUACAUCCAGUUUUUAAAAAGAGAAAAAAUACUAUCUCCAUUCUGUCUGUCAUCUUUUUCACAGUUGACAUAAAUUUAAAAAAACAUAUUAAUUUUGGAAAACUGCAAUCUCAACAUUCGUGAGACCUAGAUGAGUAUUUUCUAUUAUACCUAAAGGUCUUAGUUAUCAUACAUCUGCUUUAUUUCACAUUACAUCAAUCUCAGCAAUGAUCUGUUAUUACUUUUUUUUUCAGUGCUGGGAAUUGAACUCAAGGCCUUACACACUCUAGGCAAGUGUCUAUCACUGAGCUAUGCCACCAGCUCCUGUUAUUAUUUUAUGUAGAUAUUGUCAGACACUUAUCCUUAUUUAAAAUAUAUCAUAACUAAAUAUUUAAAAGCAUAGCAAGAAUGACUACCUAAUUUAUGGGGCCAGUGCAAAACGAAAAUGGAGGGCCUCUUGUUCAAUGUUAUUAAGAAUUUUAUAACAAUUAUAGCAGAGCAUUAAGCCAAAUUUUAAGUCCUUCUAAAUGUGUGGCCCUAUGCGACAGUCCAGGGCAGACAUCUGCAGAAGUUGGCUCUGUUGCUAGUAUAUUUCAGCUUCUUCUAAGUCACAAUUCUAGAACCACAUUUCCUACCAAUCUCAAAAAUUUUGGGCCUCUUAUUUCCAUAUAACAAGUAAAUACACAUGUUUAUUCCCAGAUUACUUUAACAAGGAAACUUGAUUUUUGUUUGUUUGGUUGGUUGGUUGGUUUUUUUUAGAUUUUUGUUUUGUUUUUACAUUUCUUUAGUGUUUGGUUUUCUGCCAGGUUGGUUUAAACCUCAAUGAUAUUAUUUUAAAACAGAAGAAUACUAGUUCCCCACGUGAACAUAUUGGGAAUGGGGUUGAAGUAAAGCCUUCAGAUUUGGAAGUUACUCAUUCCAUUUGGAAUGCUUUCCCAUCUGCAAGUUCACAUGAACUACAGUAUUUUUGCUGAGAAACAAACCAGGUUCACAUAGUAACAAACUCUACUCUUACCCACAAGCCACUCAGCCGUUCUGUAUCAGUUAGUCUUUAGUCAGCAGCCAACUCUUGGAUUGUCCUCAUGCAGCACCUUCUUGAAGAAGGUGAUCAAGAAAAGAACAGGAGACAGUCCAUAAGGCAAAUGCUGCCAUCUAGAGAGACGGAGAGGAGAACGUCACGAGAGGAGUAAUUUUCCAAAUAAAAAUUGAAAAAAUAAAAACCCUCAGCUGAUGAGUGAGAAAUUCUUCCAAGAAGAUAUCAUUGUUCACAAGAAAUCAGCAUUUCAUAAGAAGGUGGCAGGAAGAAUUCAUCUAAUUUGAAAAGAAAGCUUAUUUGAUUAAUGAUUCUGUGGAAUGGAGAACCUAUGAAAGAUCUUCUUCUUAAAAUUGUACAGCAGGAAACUUCAAAGGUGAUUUUUCUAAGGCUAUGUAAAAUAACUGCAUCUCAACUAAUUGUUUUACUUGUCUAAAAUGUAAAUAACAUAUAGCUUCAUUUUAAAAUUUCUCUUGUUUAAGCAAAGUCACAAAAGUUGGAAUUAUCUGUAGUAGAUUGGUCAGUUUACCUUGUUUUCAUGGUACAUACAAUAUAAGGACAUACUUGGGAACUCUGUGUAGAUUUAAAACAGUAUAAAUUGAAAAAAAAAUCAAACAGACAAACACAAAGGAACUGCUAAAAAUGCCUGAAAAACCAAGGGAAAAGGCAGGGAUCUAACUUGUCUCUAUAUAUUAUAUGUGCAAUCAUUUGAACAACUCAUAUUUCAAAAAUGAAUAGUGCACACUGAGAUAGCAUUACCCGAAUCUAUUCGGUUAGCUAUGUUCCCAAAACACUUCUACUAACUCUUGUGGCCUACAUUACUAGAAAACAAUUAAAUUCUUCUCUAAGAGAGAUCCUAAAUCAUUUUACAAUCCAAGCAGUAACAACUGAGGAGGAUAUACUCUUUUCCAUUCAGCUACUCAGAAUUUAUUUCGGUGAAAGUUUUGAAAUUUAAUAUUAUAUUGUAAAUUCUAAAUGAUUCUGAGCUGUAUAUUUAUGUGAGAUAUAUGUUGAUAAUAUAUUCAUAUUAUACAUGUACAUAUAGUGAUAUUUUUCAAAUCAUAAAAAUGUGUAUACAUUGAGAUCUGCCAGCUUUAAUUUACUUAAAUAGAAGGUCUAAUGCCUCUGCUUAUUGAAUAAUAAGAAUAGCAACAAUUAUCUUGAUUUAAUAUUACCAGCAUUAUCCAUUCACUCAGGAAAUACUUAGCAAGCACCUACUAUAACCCAGAAAUUACAAUAAAUGUGGGGGUACAGCAAUGAAUAAAUAUAGGUACACAACUCAAUGUAAGCUUCAUAAUAUCCCAAGGGCAGUAAGUGCUUCCCAAUUUUGAAAAACUUGUCCAAGACCUUAUUACGUACAAGUGAGGCAGUAGAUUUUUAUUUCAGUCACUGCUUAUUUAUAAAUCACAUUUUUAAGUCACAUUGUAUUGGCUCCCAUUUAGUCAACCUUUCCUACUCUGAUGAAAGCUUUAAGAAAUAAAUUUUGUUUUUCCAAUGAUUUGUGUAGCCAUAUGAGGUAAAUAUCAAUAUCAUUCUUGGAAAGUUUUUGGAAAACACUUAAAUCCUUCACAGGCAACAUCACUAGUCAUUAAGGGUUGCAAAUCCAAACGAUGAUGAGAUGCCAUUUCAUGUCCAUUAGGAUGGCUAUAUAUAAUUUGGUGGGAGGUGGAGAGAAAGGAAGAAAGGAAGGAAAGAGGAAGAGAGGACGGAUGGAAAAGAAGGAAAUGGAAAAUGUUGAUGAAGAGAUGAAAAAUUGGAGCCUUUGUUCAGUACUAAUAAAAAUGUAAAAUGAUGAAGUCACAGUGGAAAACAAUUUGGCAUUUCCUCAAAAAGUUAUGUGCAUAUAGAAUCAUCGUGUGAUCCAGCAAUUCUACUUCUAAUACAUAUCUAAAAGAUGUCAAAGCAGAGACCCAAACAAAAACAUUUGAACCAAUGUUUUAUAGCAGCAUUAUUUACAAUAGCCUAAAGUGAAAACAACUCAAAGAUCCAUCAUCAGAAAAAAUGGAUAAACAAUAAGGUAUAUCCAUACAAUGGAAUAUUAUUCAGCCUUAAAAAGAAUGAUAUUCUGAUACAUGCCAAAAUAUGGAUGGCUUCAAAACAUUAUGUUAAGUGAAAUAAACCAGGCACAAAAAGGUCCAUAUUGCAUGAUUGCAGGUAAUUCAGAAAGUUCACAGAGACGGAAAAUAAAAUAGGAGUUACUGGAGUGUAAGGGGAAAGAAGAGUAGGGGAAAUAUUGUUUAGCGAGUACAAAGUUUCUGUAUGGGAUAAUGAAAAAGUUUAUAUAGUGGCAAUAGUCAUAUGACACUGUGAAUAUAUGUGAUAUCACUGAAUGGAUAGUACACUAAAAAAUUGUAAAUUUUAAUUUAUGCAUAUUUUACCUAACUGGUACACUGAAAAUUAUAAAUUUUAAGUUAUGUAGACUUAAAUUUUCCACAGGUAUUAAUGGAAUUUUAUGAAUUCCAGUAACACUGGGAACCAGAAAUGGAGGCAAAUGGUGUGAAAGGCGAAUGAAGCUAAAGCACAGGGUCUCUUCUAACACUAUUUUUUAAAUAAAUCAGCAUAUAAAAAGGUACUUGCCUAUUUCAAUUUAAAUAAAAUGCAACCUAAAUACAUACCAUAAAAUAAAUUUCUUGCCUCUACCCAUAUUUUGUACUCAAAGAAUUUUAAAAUUUGAGGUGAUAUGCACUUGUAUUCUUAUAAAAAUAAUCAUCAAAUGCAAAUUAUGAACUACCCAUGUCAGGGACUUCAAAAAUCGUGAAUCCAUAUAUUUCUCAAUGAAAAGCUAUUAAAUGAACAUCUUAAUAUCUGAACUUAAUUGGCCAUCAUGCCUGCCUACUGUUGAUAUCCAUCUGGUUUUAUAUUAACCCAAAGAGUUCUGAUGUAAUUAAAUGGUAAUAUCCUGUUAUAAAAUUUACAACUAAAUUCACAUUUUCUCUUCAACAUCCUUUUUUAUUUAUGUUUAAUAUUUCUACACAUAUUGAUUUAGGUUCAGAACUUGAAAGUCUAAAAUAAAUUAUGCCAGAUGAAAAUAAACUUGAAUUUCUGUUCAACUUAGAAGGACUCAAUUGUUUUUCACAACUUUAAAAUUCACCAGGAUUAACAUGAUAUAAUAUAUAAAUGUUUUUAUUAUAACUCUAAAGAGCUAAAGAAUAUUAUGAAAGUUUAUAAAUUUUUCUGAACCAAUAUAUAAUUAUGAAGCCUCUACUUCUUAAGGAAUAUCCUAAUAUUUAAUUCACACAUAAAAUAAAACAAAGGUAGAGUGGUUUACUGAUUAAGAUCUAUGGAAGAACUGAAAAGAAAUAAUAUUGAAGCUAUAUUUCCUGCAUAUAAAUCCUGGCUUUGCUAUUUAUUGUCUGAUCUGUGGACAAGUUUAUUUUUCUUGCCUCAGUAUCUUCAUCUUUAAAUGGGAAUAAUAGUACACUGGCAUCAUAGGAUUGUUCUGAAGAGUCAAUAAAGAACUUAAGAUAGCAUUUGACACAGAAAAGGGGGUCAGUAAAUAUUUUAUAUUAUUAUUAGUCCCUGGUUCAAAAAUAAGGAAAUUUAUGCUAAAAAAGGUCACGUUCCUUGCCAAAGUAAUACAUGUGAUAAGAUGUGAGAUGGGACCCUAAUUCUCCAAAAAGUUUGAGAUUCUGGAAAAAAAAAAUUUCCAUUAUUGGAAGAUUAUGAUUAUUGAAGUUAUAUCAACAGCAUUUAAUCUUAAAAAUUAUAAUAUCUAUUGCUGCUACUUUUCAUUAUAAUAACAAACUUUUAUUGGGGAAAAUUUUGAUAAAAUCAGGAUGUGUUUUUUUUUUCCAUGCAAAGCACAAAGGGACUAUUUUUUGGUAAUUAUUCAUAGAUUUGAAGGUUUGUUCUUUUUUUUUUUCCUUUGUAAUAAUUCAGGCGCUUUAACCAAAAGCCAAUUUUAUGGUAAAUAAAAAUAACCAGAUGAAAUUCUGGUUUGGUCUGUAAGAUAGUUGUGGGUUAGUUUGCAAAUGAAAUCUUAGGAACAAUCUCCUCAGUUCUAAGACAUUCAGGUUUGGAUGGUAAAGAGCUGAUGUCCUCUGCAUAUGAGAGUUUAGCAUAUAAAAUAUAUCUUAAACCUUCAAUAGUUACUCUAUCCAAAAAAAGUUUCAAUUAAAUAUUACUGAUUAAAAUUUUUAAAAAAUCCAGAUAAUUUCAGGGUGAAAGCUUGCAGAAAGUUAACAAGGAUAAAUUACCAUAAAAAGAAUGGUCAGCUUUUUACAAAGCGAAGCAAAUUAGGCCUUACUCAAGACUCGUUUCAUGACAUUAUUUUCUGUGACUGACCAAAGUUUUCUUUUGUUUGUUUCUGUGAUAUGUGAGUUUAAUGUUUGUUUUCUAUCCUGAUUUUCUCCCUCCCAAUUGAUAAACUCUGCAUUCUCCUAAUAUUAUCAGCUAUAAAAAAUUAACCAAGCUAACUUUUAUUGGCUUGUUUUCUUAGACAACCAACAUGGUGCUCCCCUGACCCACUGGACCAUCAAGUUAUGUUGCGUGACAGGAGUGACUGAAAUCUGUGGAAAGGACUGCUCUCCAGGGAUUGUUUAAGAAGUAAAUGAGGAAACAUCUCUCACCUAUGAUGAUAGGGUAGUGAGUUAUUCUAUUGUUUAGAAUUGGGGUUAACUGUUUUUGUUUUAAACUCUGCUAAGGUUAUUUUUAUAGUGAUCUAAAAUUAAAAAUUUGUUGAGAAACUCAAGUAA
RNAcentral lists this long non-coding RNA (34887 nucleotides) under Marmota monax (woodchuck). Lineage: Eukaryota; Metazoa; Chordata; Mammalia; Rodentia; Sciuridae. The record is from RNAcentral.